RNAcentral lists this ribosomal RNA (754 nucleotides) under uncultured archaeon. RNAcentral's name for it is "bacterial SSU rRNA". It matches the Rfam family "Archaeal small subunit ribosomal RNA", at positions 102 to 859 of the family's 1478-position model. The record is from RNAcentral.
AGUCAACAUGCCCAGGGGACGUGGAUAACCUCGGGAAACUGAGGAUAAACCGCGAUAGGUCAUAAUGUCUGGAAUGAUUUAUGGCUGAAAUCUACAUGGCCCCUGGAUUGGACUGCGGCCGAUCAGGCUGUUGGUGAGGUAAUGGCCCACCAAACCUGUAACCGGUACGGGCUCUGAGAGGAGGAGCCCGGAGAUGGGCACUGAGACAAGGGCCCAGGCCCUAUGGGGCGCAGCAGGCGCGGAACCUCUGCAAUAGGCGAAAGCUUGACAGGGUUAUUCUGAGUGGUUUCCGCUAAGGAAAUCUUUUGGCAUCUCUAAAAAUGGUGCAGAAUAAGGGGUGGGCAAGCCUGGUGUCAGCCGCCGCGGUAAUACCAGCACCCCGAGUGGUCGGGACGAUUAUUGGGCCUAAAGCAUCCGUAGCCGGUUCUACAAGUCUUCCGUUAAAUCCACCUGCUUAACAGUUGGGCUGCAGAGGAUACUAUAGAGCUAGGAGGCGGGAGAGGCAAGCGGUACUUAGUGGGUAGGGGUAAAAUCCGUUGAUCCACUGAAGACCACCAGUGGCGAAGGCGGCUUGCCAGAACGCGCUCGACGGUGAGGGAUGAAAGCUGGGGGAGCAAACCGGAUUAGAUACCCGGGUAGUCCCAGCUGUAAACGAUGCAGACUCGGUGAUGAAUAAGCUUCGUGCUUAUUCAGUGCCGCAGGGAAGCCGUUAAGUCUGCCGCCUGGGGAGUACGGUCGCAAGACUGAAACUUAA